This 1905-nucleotide long non-coding RNA is filed under the name Rattus norvegicus (Norway rat). Its description in RNAcentral is "long non-coding RNA NONRATT032309". The record is from RNAcentral. Lineage: Eukaryota; Metazoa; Chordata; Mammalia; Rodentia; Muridae.
AUGUACGAGCACAUGCACAUGUACAUACAAAUGCAAAAAAGGGGUGGGGUUGGGUGGGGGGCAUCACAGAAGAACCAGCUUUGCCUCGUAGCUGACUCUUUGUCAUUGCUGAAAAAAAUGCACCGAACCCAAAUGAAAGGCGUUCUGGUUGACGAGGAGAAUAUCUGUGAAUCGUGCCUUUCUCCCAUCCUUCCAACAGGUAAGGUGCUUAGAAGAAAAAUCACUCUCCCAAAAAAUAUGUUCAUGAUGAGUGGAAUUAAGAUUUUGAAUUAGCUAAUAAGCUCCUGAAAUAUAUACAGCUUCACAGUUGAAGGAUUUCAACUCCUUCCCCUGCUCUUGUGAAUGCUGCUGCUCCUGACAGAGUAGUGUGUCAACAUCAGCAAGCUUUGCAAGAACCCACAGGGUUCUUCAAACCCUGCCUUGGCCUCAGAGUUCUGGGAGUGUUGGCCUGAGAGCGAGUACUUCCAACAAGGCGAUACGAAUGGAUCCAGUUAGAGGCUAAUCUUUGAGAAUCUUCAAAAAUAAAGUAGAGUCAGAAUGCAAAGCCAACCAUCAAAUCCCACAUAUUUCGGUUCUGAGGCAGAAUCCUAUAUGGAUGUCUGGGGCAGUGAAGAAUGGCUUCAUCUUCACUGUCCUUGGAGGCACCCAGACUACCUUCAUGGAAACAGCACUCAGCAUCAAACAGACUCACCAUAGGAAGAAGCCUGUGUCUCUUUUUAGUAGAUUGUCAUAAUAAUAAAAUGGUCUGUAUCAAAAGACCAUUCAGACAUGAGAAAAGCAAACUCAUAAUUUGAAAGUAGAAAAGCAUAGCUGUCAGGGUACUUUAAAGCGCAAGUUCAGCCAUGGGAAAGCUCAAAAGUGUCACUGUCACAGACCACUGGUCUUAGGAACUAUGUGUUCCAAAGCUCAUAGAGCAAUGGGAAGUCGUUUCACCGGAGCCGCUCUUCCAGAAGGAGCAGCUUCUCAUUUUCAACACUUCUGUAAACACAGCCCUGUAUGUGCGCUUGCAGUGAAAGGGGUCACGAAUGCCCUGGUAAAGUUCAGUCCUCAGCUUCUCCUGUGGCAGGCAGUGUGUCUUGCAGAGCGCAUCUGGCCACACAGCAGAAGCAGAUCCGGACUGACUAAAACAGAAUAGUGAGUGUAGAAGCCUGGGAUCCUGACCCAGUUCUGCCUCUGCCUCAGCAAGAGAACUUGGCAGAUCGAAGGUGAACUGAAAAACAUUUUUAUCAAGCUACACGCUUGAUUUCAGUGUGUGUAGUUGGAAUCGAAUGGUCAGGAUACACACAGGGACACUAUGUAUUCUACUUUUUCUAAUAAGCAUCACAUUUGCUGUGAAACUGUGCUGCAUUAGUUAUCGUGGUAACUGAUGCUGAGGCCAGGCAAGUAGCCUGUAAUUGUGGUUCACAGCAAAGGUGAUUCUAGACCAGCUCUGUGCUUUUGUAAAGAAGCCUUGUCCAAAUGGAGCCUGUUGCUAGGAAUUUACUCCAGGGCUGGCUUAACUCUUCCUGGUCUGCCUGUUGCCUGAUGUUAUUCUCCUGUCCCUGCCCCUUGUAAUGCAGCCGAAGCCCUUCAGCGUGGUGGUCUUCCAUUGUCGGCACAUGUUCCACAAGGAGUGCCUACCUAUGCCAAGCCUGGUAAGUUGUCAGCCCAAUCGCUGCCAAAUGAAAAGGAAGAACUAAUCUCAGCAACCACGACUAGAGCCCUCCAUCCUAUGGCCUCUGGCUUUCUUAAUUCUAACCCACAAGACAAAGGAAUUGAGCAAGUCCUCUGCAUCUUGCUCAAUCCCUGGGUUCUGCAUCCAUGGAUUGAACCAACCUUGCAUCAGCAAUCUUGGACGAAAAGCUGCCCCACCAUACUAAACGUGUGUGUUGACUUUUCCUUUUGUAUUUAUUCCCUAAACAGAGU